Molecule: long non-coding RNA, 1020 nt
Organism: Prosopis cineraria
Lineage: Eukaryota; Viridiplantae; Streptophyta; Magnoliopsida; Fabales; Fabaceae
Exons: 5
Source: RefSeq, a predicted model, not a curated record
CUUCAUUCCUUCACUCUUCCUCUGUGUCUUCGCUUCCUUCCCUUGUGUUCUCAAUCGUUACUGGUGUGAGCCUUUGCUGUUGAUCUGUCCACAGUUGGCUAGAGUGGAGCUCAUUUUCUUGUUGCUGAACGCUAGCAAAAAUCCUUUUCUUCCUCCCUGUUCGAGCCUACAGCAUAUUGCUGGGUGAGAAAUCAGCUCGCUGGAAAUUGGUGGUAUUGGUUGAGUUGGAGUUGAUGUGGAUUCUAUUCUCUUCACUUUUUUUCGAGUGGUGCUUCAUUUUUUUCCUCUUGCUUAGCUGUGAAUUUCAUUUUCCUCCUCCCUUGUUGCAUGUCGUUAGUCCAUCUGAGUUAGUAGUUUGCCAGAUUCUCUAGCGACUAUCCGGAACCCAGUUAACCCGCUUGGCGGGCUCGUGAUGGAGGAUUCAUCAUUCCACGAAUUAAUGGGUUUUUGAGUUUUCAAAUCUCCAAUAAGAGUAACGUCAAGUACCUAACAAUCUCUCCUGACUUGUUCGAAGUUACUGCUCCUACUUAACCAAACCCAUGCCACUGACCUCUAUUCACAACUUGGUUUUAGCCCGGAUGACCUCGCCCUUCCUUGAGUCAUCCUGCAAAAAGUUCAGGAACUGGCCCCGGUCUCCUCGCACUUGGGUUAACUGGGUAAGCAUUUGAAGUCAGAACAUACACCUCAAUGGAAGGAGAUAGGUUUAUAUGAUCUUAUCCAAUUAUCUUUGGCCGACGUUAAUGUCCUUGUGGAGCUUCUAAUGGCCAUCCUCAGCUUCUGGGCUCCAGGCUACAAUGCCUUCAUCUUCAAGCUUAGCCUGAUGUUCCUUACACUAUGGGAUGUCUUCAUGUUUUUGGGGCUACUUAUCAUUGGAGAGGAGAACUUCUACGUAAAUCUCUUGGAGGCACAACUCCUACACUGCCCUUGUUAACCUCUAGAAGUUCAUGUCAUUUCAUCAUAUUUUCUUUAGAUUCUAAGCCAUUUUAGCUCAAUUGUGUAUGUUUUUAUUGCCCAAAUUAG